RNAcentral lists this non-coding RNA (64 nucleotides) under uncultured Roseburia sp. RNAcentral's name for it is "Fluoride riboswitch". It matches the Rfam family "Fluoride riboswitch aptamer (crcB RNA motif)", at positions 7 to 62 of the family's 64-position model. Lineage: Bacteria; Bacillati; Bacillota; Clostridia; Lachnospirales; Lachnospiraceae. The record is from RNAcentral.
AUAGGGAAUGAAGUUCUCCCCUGGGCAACCUAAACUGCUUUUAUAGCUGAUGACUUCUACGAUU